UGUCUCCUCUAUUCUCCUCCUAGGAAAUAGAUUCAGCCCGCUUCUAACGAAGCGGGUUUUUUUUU
This is a small RNA of Massilia timonae, 65 nucleotides long. It matches the Rfam family "Betaproteobacteria toxic small RNA". From Rfam's summary of the family: Overexpression in amino aid rich medium attenuates growth, suggesting role in repressing amino acid intake and metabolism. NCBI's taxonomy places the organism in Bacteria, Pseudomonadati, Pseudomonadota, Betaproteobacteria, Burkholderiales, Oxalobacteraceae. The record is from Rfam.